RNAcentral lists this transfer RNA (61 nucleotides) under Lysinibacillus sp. S2017. RNAcentral's name for it is "tRNA-Arg". It matches the Rfam family "tRNA", at positions 7 to 64 of the family's 71-position model. Rfam says of the family: Transfer RNA (tRNA) molecules are approximately 80 nucleotides in length. Their secondary structure includes four short double-helical elements and three loops (D, anti-codon, and T loops). Lineage: Bacteria; Bacillati; Bacillota; Bacilli; Caryophanales; Bacillaceae. The record is from RNAcentral.
GUAGCUCAAUUGGAUAGAGCAUCUGACUACGAAUCAGAAGGUUGUAGGUUCAAGUCCUGUC